CUGGUUCAGUACAAACUACUUUUUACUUUUUGUUAUUCAUUCAUUGCAGCGUUUAUAUAUUAUGAUAUCAUUACAUCUGUUUUUUUCUGUAGCAUCAAAAAAAAGUCUUGCUGACCCUGAAGAGGCUUUCCGGAUAUUUAGGGCUUGGCUGCCCUUCCUUAGUGGAUGGAUGAGCCGGUGGUCAUCAUCAACCAUUCUGGAGGCUACGUUUAGCCUUAAAACUGAAGGACUCACUUCACCUGAAAUAUAUUGAAAUGCAAGACAGAGAUCAGAAAGCUGUGUUAAAAUUAAUCAUGGGAAGAGAGUAAAAACUGAUGUUAACCCAACAGCACUUGUGAAGAUAUGCUCUAAUAGCAUGGCUGAAUUCUCAUCUGGGCUCAAAAUCAAAAUAGAAGACACUGUGGGUAAGAGAAGAAACAUUAGCAACCUAAAUAAAUCUCUUAGACAAAAGUGUGUGUACUUGUGU
This 466-nucleotide long non-coding RNA is filed under the name Numida meleagris (helmeted guineafowl). RNAcentral's name for it is "lncRNA (ENSNMEG00000016396.1)". Lineage: Eukaryota; Metazoa; Chordata; Aves; Galliformes; Numididae. The record is from RNAcentral.